AAAAACUUUAUCACAAUCGCUUGGCAACACGCGAUAAGUGAACCUCGGGUGCCAGGUUAAAACGGGCUGUCGAGAUGCCUAAAAAGCAUUUCAUAGCAAGGGGGGGGCAAGACCGGUGCCAGCCGCCGCGGUAACACCGGCGGUUCGGGUGGUAACCGUUAUUAUUGGGUCUAAAGGGUCUGUAGCCGGCCGGAUAAGUCUCUUGGGAAAUCUGGCAGCUUAACUGUCAGGUUUUCAGGAGAUACUUUUUUUUUUUCGGGGCCGGGAGAAGUGAGAGGCCUUCAGGGGUGGGGGGGGAAAAUCUUGUAAUCCUUGAAGAACCACCAGGGGGGGAAGGGGUUCUCCCCAGAACGGACUUUUUUGGCAAGGGACAAAAGCUAGGGCCCCUAUUCCGGAUUAGAACCCGGGUAGUCCUAGCCGUAAACAAUCCUCCCUAGGGUUCGGCCACGGGGCGACCGUUUUCGGUGCCUUGGGGAAGCCGUGAAACGGCCCCUUGGGAA
RNAcentral lists this ribosomal RNA (500 nucleotides) under uncultured Methanosaeta sp. Its description in RNAcentral is "partial 16S ribosomal RNA". It matches the Rfam family "Archaeal small subunit ribosomal RNA", at positions 343 to 835 of the family's 1478-position model. The record is from RNAcentral. Lineage: Archaea; Methanobacteriati; Methanobacteriota; Methanomicrobia; Methanotrichales; Methanotrichaceae.